RNA transcript from Seriola aureovittata, 5948 nucleotides. It is a transcript of the gene named transient receptor potential cation channel, subfamily M, member 4a, with no coding region annotated. The record is from RefSeq and is a predicted model, not a curated record. Lineage: Eukaryota; Metazoa; Chordata; Actinopteri; Carangiformes; Carangidae. The transcript is spliced from 31 exons.
AAAAAAUUGUUUCCAAAAAACUAAACUACUACGACGUUUGCUAGGCAACUUACAUGAACAAGAAGUUCACAGAUACACAAAAGUAAAUGUAGUAAGAACUUGACUCCUUCCUGCAGCGUGAUUGGCGCCAUAUGUGGCUACAUGGAGCUGUGGAGCACGCGCCGCUGUGUGCAGUGGGCGGGGCUUCGGGACGCACAACUGAUUUGGAGCUCUGUAACCAGUCUUCGAGGAUGCAGCGCAGGAUGAAGGAGCUGGAAAGAGACGGAGGAGGAGGAAAGGCUGGAAGUACGAAAGAGAGGGACCAGAGCUGGAUUCCCAAGAUCAUCAAGAAGAGACUGUGCACAACUUUUGUUGAAGACUCUUUCAGUAAUGGAGCAUUGUGUCAGUGUGGUGGUGUGCGGGAGGUCCAUGACUCCGUGGCAACAGGGGACUAUUUCGGAGCAGCUAUCGUCACCCAGUGGGACAGCCGACAGCACUCCUCAGAGUGUCCCACUGACGCCUUCGGAGAGCUGGAGUUUGCUGGCGCUGGACGCAGACACAGUCAUUUUCUGCGGCUGUCAUGUGACACGCCUCCCCAGAUCAUCUACACCCUGAUGACGGCUCACUGGGGUCUGCCCUCACCCAACCUAGUGGUGUCAGUGGUGGGGGGAGAGGGCCAUGGGAAGAUCAAGACGUGGGUGAGAGAUGUCCUGAGAAACGGGCUAGUCAGGGCCGCACAGAGCACAGGGGCCUGGAUCUUGACGGGGGGUCUGAGGGAGGGUGUGUCCUGCUGUGUGGGUGAGGCCGUGAGGGACCACGCUGCUGCAGCUCCAGCUCUCUCCCGGAAGAAAGUGAUUGCUGUGGGACUGGCUCCCUGGGGCCUGGUGCACAACAGGCAGCAGCUCGUCAACGCCCAGGGCAGUUUUCCUGCUCGCUACUAUGUCCAGAACACGUCACGUGACUCCUUCUGCCUGGACAAUAACUGCCAGGCUUUCCUCCUGGUGGAUGAUGGGAGUCUUGGUCGCCGGGGUGGAGAGGCUGCCUUUCGUGCUAAUCUGGAGGACUACAUUUCCCAUCAGCGCACUGGCAUCUGGGGAAGUGGCAGUAUUGAGAUCCCAGUCCUGUGCAUGCUCAUCUCAGGAGACGCCAACAUGCUGGAGAGACUAGAUGCCUCUCUGAAGAAAGCUACACCCUGGCUGGUUCUGGCUGGUUCUGGACCAGCUGCAGACCUUAUCAGUGAGCUGCUGGGCAACCUUUCCUCUGUCCCCCUCAGUCCCACCUCUCCCCCUGCUGAGGGGGAGGCCGCUCAGGGCCCCAGCGCAGAGCUUCGCGACAGGGUUCGUGACAAGGUCCGGAAACACUUCCCAUCUGAAGCAGAGCUGGAGAGACUGGUGGACAGUGCUCUGAGCAUCCAUCAGAACAGAGAGCUCAUCACUGUGUUCCACGGAGAACAGGAGGCUUCUGAUGAGUUUGAUACAGUUCUCCUCAAAGCCCUUGUUAGAGCUAGUAAACGUGUGUGCAGUGCAGCCAGUGAGUGCACAGAGGAGUUGAAACUGGCUGUGGCCUGGAACAGAGUGGACAUCGCCAAAGCUGAGCUCUUCAAUGGAGACAUACAGUGGAAGUAUGAGGACCUGGAGGACUCCAUGACAGACGCACUGAUCAACGACAAGCCUCAGUUUGUGCGUCUGUUUUGUGAGAACGGUCUGAACAUCCUGGACUACCUGACGUACCGGCGUCUGGAGAGUCUGUACCGCUCUCUGUCAGACAGCUAUCUGGUCUACACGCUGCUGCAGAGGCGUCUGAGUGAGAGACAGGCCCUGGCUGGGUCCCUGCCCAGCCUGGACAGGUCCGUGACGUCCCCCCUGAAGAGUCCUCAGAGUGCUCUCACUGGACCGGCCUCUGCAAUGGAGCUGAGCCUGUAUGAGGUUUCCCGUCUGCUGUGGGACCUGCUGGGUGACGUCUGUCAGCCUUUCUACUACGGACCUCUGGGCCUGGACCCCACCUGCAGCUUCAGGAGGACUCUCAAGCAAGUCAAUAAGCUGCUGCUGGGAGAGUGUCUGUACCGGGACCAGCGCUGCCUCUCACCCUGGGCGGCCCUCUUCAUCUGGGCCGUCCUGCAGAACCGCAGGGAGAUGGCUAUUUACUUCUGGGAGAUGGCGGGGGAGUCAGUGUUGAGCGCUCUGGGGGGCUGUAAGGUGCUGAGGGAGCUCUCUAAGCUGGAGAGUGAGACUGAGAACAAGCUGGCCAUGAAGGAGCUGGCUCAGACGUUUGAGGACCUGGCACAUGACGUGUUUGGAGAGUGUUACCAGAACAGCGAGAGCCGCGCCUUCACUCUCCUUAUAAGGAAGUCUCCAGUGUGGGCCGGGGCUACGUGUCUGCAGAUGGCCACUGCAGCUGACGCCCGCCUGUUCUUCAGCCAUGAUGGUGUUCAGUCUCUGCUGUCUCAGAUCUGGUGGGGUGAUAUGGAGAGGAACACUGAGGUCUGGAAACUGGUUCUCACCUUCUUCCUGCCCCCCCUCCUCUACACAGACCUCAUCAGCUUCAGGGAACAAGAGGAGGAGGUGAAGUCCGUGGAGCUUUACCAGGGCAGAGACACCGACAGUCUGGAUGGGAAUGAUGCCACCGUCUUCUCUCUUGCUGACAUCAUACAAAAUGAGGAAGACGCUGAAGAGUUGCGGGCUCUAAAAGAAAAACUCAGAGGUAGUCACUCUCCUGUUCAAGACUCUAUGUCGUCCAACUCUAAGAGACCGUUCAUUGUGUCCCGGUGGAGACAGUUCUGGUUCGCCCCCGUCACCUCGUUCCUUGGUAACGUUCUGAUGUACUUCUUGUUCCUCUGCCUGUUUGCCUACGUUCUGCUGGUGGACUUCAAGCCCCAACCUGAUGGUCCCUCCACUCUGGAGUUUGUGCUUUACUUCUGGGUUUUCACCUUAGUCUGUGAGGAGAUUCGACAGACCUUCUUCGUGGGCAGCACCUUUGUGCUCCAGAGGAUGAGGAACUACAUCCAGGAUGUAUGGAACAAGUGUGACCUGACAGCCAUCAUUCUCUUCACUCUGGCAAUGUGCUGCAGGAUGUUUCCCUGGUCCUAUGAGUUUGGCCGAGCUGUCAUGGCCAUAGACUUCAUGGUCUUCACUCUACGUCUGAUUCACAUCUUUGCCAUACACAAACAGCUUGGACCCAAGAUCAUCAUUGUUGGCAAAAUGAUGAAGGACGUCUUCUUCUUCCUCUUCUUUCUGGCUGUGUGGUUAGUGGCCUACGGAGUGGCCAAUCAGGCUCUGCUCUACUCAUACGAUCCACGUCCCAACUGGAUCUUCCGCCGAGUCUUCUACAGACCAUACCUACACAUUUUUGGACAAAUACCUAUUAAUGAGAUGGACGCCGACAAACUUGGGGAAGUAAACUGUACAAACGACGCCUCACGAAUCGAGGCUGGAGAGGAGCCAUGUGUCAGUACCUACGCCAACUGGCUGGUGGUCAUCCUCCUCGUCAUCUACCUGCUGUUCACUAACAUUGUGCUGGUCAACCUGCUCAUUGCCAUGUUCAGCUACACCUUCUCCAAAGUUCAGGAGCGCAGUGACACCUACUGGAAGUUUCAACGCUACAAUCUGAUCGUGGAGUACCACUCAAGGCCCUGCCUGGCUCCACCAUUCAUCAUCAUCUCACACCUCCACCUUUUCAUCAAGAGAUACAUCCGCCGCAUCUCCUCAGUCAAGAGCAAACAUUUUGUUCUGGAGUUACGGGGCAGGAAGGCCAGCCGCCUCAACACAUGGGAGGCCAUACAGAAAGAAAACCACCUCUCAGCUCAGAAUAAACGUCAGAGGGAGACUGACACAGCUCGACUGAAACGUACAUCUAUCAAGGUGGACAGUGUGCUGAAACAGAUGUCAGAGAUCCGUGACCACGACCGACGGUUGCGGCUGUUGGAGACGGAGCUGGAGUACUGCUGCAGCGCCCUCGGCUGGAUGACAGACGCUCUGUCUCAGAGUCCUCUGGUAAAGGCAGAGCACCCCCCUCCACUGCUCAGAGAUGUGACUCCGCUGUCUCCAAGCUGAACUCAACUCCAGUAUCACACACACACAGUUUACUCAGGGCCAUUGUGUCAGACAUUGUUUGCUGUUCAUUUCAUUUUGAGGUGUAUUUUAUUUAGGACUAAUAAUAUAUUGUUUUAAAUGUUUUUACAGUAGUGUCAGAAGACACCGCUGCUGUGUUACAGUUCCUCCACCUGAAGUUUUUAGUUAGAAUUUAAGCUGUAACCAGAGAGUGCCAUGUUAAAAUCUCUGUUAAUGUGAUUAAAUUAGACAAUUAUUGUCAUUAAUGAAAUAAGAUGCUGCUACAUGAUCAGAGAGCUCAGCCUACAGUCAGUAAAGCUGUACUGAUCAAUACUUUUAUAUCAGCAAUGGAUCAAAUGCCUAUAAUGAGCAUGACUUACUUUCCCUUAGCUCUACUCACACCAAGAACACACUGUCUGUGUUGUGUGUCUGCUGUAUUGCUGCUGCUGCUCUAUCUCUCUACAUAGAGUUUUCCUUGGAUAAUGGCGCUUGGCAGGUUACUGGAAUGAUGGAUUUAUUUUUGACAGAGAAUGCCUCUAAAAUACCACUGUCUCCACAAUAAGCUACCAAAAUGGUUGAAAAAACAUAUAUUUUCAGGUCUGUAUCAUAUUUGGAUUCAGCCUAGGCAUAGAAACUAGUGGGAGGUGUCAAUUUCAUGCCAUGUUGCUAGUAUGAUGUCAAUAUGACAUCAAUAGGUCUUUUCUCUGUCGCUUUUUUCUGGGAGAUGCGUCUCACAUUAAAAUAAGUGAGCCGCUGAAUCUCUACAUCAUGUGACACAGUUGCAGGGCCGCGUGUCACGCAGGUAGUAUGUCCACCCUACACUGUUAACAUGCCAAAAUGAAAAUACACGUGCCACACAGCCAGUGUACAGUGGACUAUUAGGGCCACAUUGAGGAGGAAAAAAUCUAAAAUUUCAAGCAGCCUUAGCUUUUUAGCCUCUCAUAGCUCACUGUUGUGGUCUUGGUUUCUGCUCCACAACCUUUUUCAUCAGCCUCAUUUCCAGUGCCAGCUGUUUCAGAGACACAUCUGUAAACAGCCUCUGUCCUCUACCUGCUGAGCAUCAAAACAGCAGACAGACUCAGUCAGAGAGCAGCUGGUGAACAUAGUGAAGGAUUUAGUAGCUAAAGAGGAGCUGGUGACCAAACACAGAGCUGAAAGAGAGGGAACACUGGACUGAGAUUCACCAGGGUCUGACUCCGCCCCUAACUCCCAGCUAAUCCAAAAAUGGACAAAGAGGAGGGGCAUGUGUUGUUCAUGCUGGUUUGUUGCAAACAUACACUCACCCACCUGUCACUCAAAGAGGUCAUGCCUACAAUUCUAGAUAACUUUAACAGGUAUAUCAUAAACCAAAGUACUGGACACGUUAACAUGUUGACCUGAUGGUGGCGCUAGAAGAAAACUCAGAGGAUCAUCAGAGUUAUUACAACCAGAACGUGCAGCCCUUUACCUUCAUCCUUGUUGCGUUCGCUGUCUCAGCUAAUUCAGGAAUCAGGAACUAGCCAUCCUGAGAGUCAACCACAGAUGAUAGCACCUUUAGGCCUGUAUCAACUGGCAGCAUAGAGCUCCUGCCUCUGACUUACACCUUCUCCAACUGGUUAGAAAGGUGACACUAAGAUUUAUUUUGGAGCAUAUUUCAAAUAAGAGAUCUCAGAAUCAUACUGUAGCCUAAAGUUCUUAAAUAAACUGCACCUUCACAAAUGGAGGAUAUUCUUACCACUCACAUUUUGAUCUUUUUUCUUUUUGUUAAUAACCAUCCAUUACCUGCAUGUAACUGUUUUAACUGACCUCACUGUAUUUGUAUUGUUGUAUCUCCCAUGAUAAAUGUUUCAGUUGAUUUUUGUUGUUGAUUAUCUAUAUUUAUUUAUUUGUUCUUUUUAAUUUUUCAUAUGUUGUAAUCUUGGCAUUGUUCUAAAUGCAGGUCAC